RNAcentral lists this ribosomal RNA (126 nucleotides) under uncultured bacterium. Its description in RNAcentral is "partial 16S ribosomal RNA". It matches the Rfam family "Bacterial small subunit ribosomal RNA", at positions 917 to 1045 of the family's 1533-position model. The record is from RNAcentral.
GGGCCCGCACAAGCGGGGGAGCAUGCGGAUUAAUUCGAUGCAACGCGAAGAACCUUACCAAGGCUUGACAUGUGCCGGAAAAGUGCAGAGAUGUGCUCCCCGCAAGGUCGGUACACAGGUGGUGCA